This 77-nucleotide transfer RNA is filed under the name bacterium. RNAcentral describes it as "tRNA-Arg". It matches the Rfam family "tRNA". Rfam says of the family: Transfer RNA (tRNA) molecules are approximately 80 nucleotides in length. The record is from RNAcentral.
GCACCCUUAGCUCAGUUGGAUAGAGCACUUGGCUUCGAACCAAGGUGUCGGGAGUUCGAAUCUCUCAGGGUGCGCCA